This 253-nucleotide ribosomal RNA is filed under the name uncultured bacterium. Its description in RNAcentral is "partial 16S ribosomal RNA". It matches the Rfam family "Bacterial small subunit ribosomal RNA", at positions 524 to 776 of the family's 1533-position model. The record is from RNAcentral.
UACAGAGGGUGCAAGCGUUAAUCGGAAUUACUGGGCGUAAAGCGCGCGUAGGUGGCUAAGUAAGAUGGGUGUGAAAUCCCCGGGCUCAACCUGGGAACUGCUUUCGUAACUGCUUGGCUAGAGUACGGUAGAGGGUAGUGGAAUUUCAUGUGUAGCGGUGAAAUGCGUAGAUAUAUGAAGGAACACCAGUGGCGAAGGCGACUACCUGGACUGAUACUGACACUGAGGUGCGAAAGCGUGGGGAGCAAACAGG